This 450-nucleotide ribosomal RNA is filed under the name uncultured bacterium. RNAcentral's name for it is "partial 16S ribosomal RNA". It matches the Rfam family "Bacterial small subunit ribosomal RNA", at positions 28 to 506 of the family's 1533-position model. The record is from RNAcentral.
GAUGAACGCUGGCGGCGUGCCUAACACAUGCAAGUCGAGCGGCAGCGCGGGGUGCUUGCACCCUGUCGGCGAGCGGCGGACGGCUGAGUAACGCGUGGGAACGUGCCCCAAAGUGAGGAAUAACUGCCCGAAAGGGUAGCUAAUACCGCAUAUUAUCUUCGGAUCAAAGGAUUUAUCCGCUUUGGGAGCGGCUCGCGUCGGAUUAGGUAGUUGGUGAGGUAAUGGCUCACCAAGCCGACGAUCCGUAGCUGGUCUGAGAGGAUGACCAGCCAGACUGGAACUGAGACACGGACCAGACUCCUACGGGAGGCAGCAGUGAGGAAUCUUCCACAAUGGGCGAAAGCCUGAUGGAGCAACGCCGCGUGCAGGACGAAGGCCUUCGGGUGGUAAACUGCUUUUAUAAGUGAGGAAUAUGACGGUAACUUAUGAAUAAGGAUCGGCGAACUACGG